CUCAUUAGCACACUGGGCUAAGCGCUGGUUCCCCACAUCCAGCAUCUCGGAUUCAAUCCCCGAGAAAAGCCUGACAGAACGACCCGAUCAACAUGGACCCAGCAGGUAGUGCCCAACAGGGAUGCAAGAGGUUGGCGCAGACGUUGAAGAAGCUGCUUCAGCGCGAGCAGGUCUUGCUGCAGCUGCAGAAGGAUCUCGACCGCCAGCAGGAGGAUCUAGCUCGUCGCCAGCAACAACGGGACCAACCUCCCCCGUGGUUCCCACUCUAUGAUGGCAAUCCGGGUGGCUGCAGAGGUUUUCUCCUCAAAUUCGAUCUGGAGUGCAGCCGCCGGCCCAUCACCCUCUCCUCCGACCGCUCCAGAAUUGCCUACAUGAUAAUCUUGCUCUCAGGCAAGGCCUUGGCAUUGGCAACCGCUUUGUGGGAGAAGCAAGGUCCCGAGUGCUCCAGCCUCAGGGCUUUUCAGGCGGUGCUGUUGUGGGUCUACGACCGGGUUAGCAUGGACAGCUUCGAGGCCGCCAUUGCCUCUGCUCUGAAGAGAGAUGCUGCCCUUAACCCUGCUCUCCCGGUGACGGCUGCUGCCGUUCCUGAAGCCGCUAACAGUCCCAGUGCACCAAGCAGCCCGGAGGCCGCCAGUCCGGAUGCCGCAGUCUUAGAUGCUGCCAGCCCGGAGGCCGCCAGCCCGGAUGCCCCAGUUCCGGAAGCCAGCAGCCCGGAUGAGCCUGACAGCCUGAAUGCUGCCAGCCCGGAUGAACCAGGCAGCCCGGAUGCCGAAGCCCCAGAUGCCGCCAGCCUGAGUGAGCCAGGUAGGCCGGAGGCCGACAGCCCGGAUGAGCCAAGCAGCCUUGAGGUCGACAGCCCGAAUGCUGCCAGCCCAAGUGAACCAGGCAGCCCGGAUGCCGACGCCCCAGAUGCCGCCAGCCCGAGUGAGCCAGGUAGUCUGGAGGCCGACAGUCCGGAUGAGCCAGGCAGCCUUGAGCCUGACAGCCUGUAUGCUGCCAGCCCAAGUGAACCAGGCAGCCCGGAUGCCGACGCCCCAGAUGCCGCCAGCCCGAGUGAGCCAGGUAGUCUGGAGGCCGACAGUCCGGAUGAGCCAGGCAGCCUUGAGCCUGACAGCCUGUAUGCUCCCAGCCCUGGUGAACCAGGCAGCUCUGAUGCUGCCAGCCGCGGCGAACCAGGCAGCCCCGAUGCCUCCAGCCCCGGUGAACCAGGCAGCCCCGAUGCCUCCAACCCCGGUGAACCAGGCAGCCCCGAUGCUGCCAGCCGCGGCGAACCAGGCAGCCCCGAUGCCUCCAGCCCCGAUGCCUCCAGCCUCGGUGAACCAGGCAGCCCCGAUGCUGCUGCCGACCCGGACUCCGCUGCCGACCCGGACCCCGCAGCCCCGAUGCUGCUGCCGACCCGGACUCCGCUGCCGACCCGGACCCCGCAGCCACCCCCGCUGCCGACCCGGACCCCGCAGCCGCCCCCGCUGCCGACCCGGACCCCGCAGUCUCCGCUGUCGACCCGGCCCCCGCAGUCUCCGCUGCCGACCCGGACCCGGCAGUCUCCGCUGCCGACCCGGACCCCGCAGUCUCCGCUGCCGACCCGGACCCCGCAGCCUCCGCUGCCGACCCGGACCUCGCAGCCUCCGCUCCAGGCGCCCCUGUCCUGAGCGCCCCUGUGCUGAGCGCCCCUGUCCCGAGCACCCCUGGUGCCCCUGUCCAGAGCGCUCCUGUCCUCCUCCCAGGCAUCUGUGUUCCUGCCCCUGUUCCAGGCGUUCCUGCCCCAGGCGCUCCUGGUCCUGUCCCAGGUGUCCCUGUCUCCAGUGUCCUAGGUGCUGCGACUGCCCCAGCCACUAGUCCUGCAACCCCAACCGUCGCUGACCCAGCAACCCCAGCCACAGCUGGUGCUGCAACCCCGACCUCAUCCUCUGACUGCGUCUUCGCGAGCCUGGCCAAGGGGAUGAUUCUUGUUCUCGUCGGUUCCAACAAGGCCCCCAGGCGUCUGUCAGACCCUUCGCCUCAUUCUGGUCGCCCGCCCGGCCACCCACCAGACACUCUGCCCCUGCUUGGCCGCCCGCCCGGCCGCCCACCAGACACUCUGCCCCUGCUUGGCCGCCCGCCCGGCCGCCCACCAGACACUCUGCCCCUGCUUGGCCGCCCACCAGAUACUCGGUCCUGGUUCGGCCGUCCACCUGGCCGGCCACCUGACCCUUGGUUCCUGCCCUCCGGCCUUGUCCUUAACCCCCUCCACCCACCCUUUAUGGACUUUUGGAGUUUUCUUUGGGCCGUCUGGAAGCCGACCCUUAGAGGGGGGGUUCUGUCACGACUUCGGGCAACCAUUUGGCACAUUGGCGGCCUCUGGUGGCCAAAGGACAUCAUGAACUCAUUUGUGUCCACAUGUGCCUUUGUUGUCUUUGUGUGCCCUCACCUGUUCCCCAUUGUGAUUGGUGUUCUCACCUGUUCCCCAUUGUGUGCUCUCA
Long non-coding RNA from Clupea harengus (Atlantic herring), 2459 nucleotides. Lineage: Eukaryota; Metazoa; Chordata; Actinopteri; Clupeiformes; Clupeidae. The record is from Ensembl.